CACGUAGGGUCCAAGCGUUGUCCGGAUUUAUUGGGCGUAAAGAGCUCGUAGGCGGCUUGGUAAGUCGAGUGUGAAAACUCUGGGCUCAACUCAGAGACGCCACUCGAUACUGCCAUGGCUUGAGUCCGGUAGGGGAGUGUGGAAUUCCCGGUGUAGCGGUGAAAUGCGCAGAUAUCAGGAGGAACACCGGUGGCGAAGGCGGGUCUCUGGGCCGAUACUGACGCUGAGGAGCGAAAGCGUGGGGAGCGAACAGG
This 254-nucleotide ribosomal RNA is filed under the name uncultured bacterium. Its description in RNAcentral is "partial 16S ribosomal RNA". It matches the Rfam family "Bacterial small subunit ribosomal RNA", at positions 524 to 776 of the family's 1533-position model. The record is from RNAcentral.